Molecule: long non-coding RNA, 980 nt
Filed under: Equus caballus (horse)
Lineage: Eukaryota; Metazoa; Chordata; Mammalia; Perissodactyla; Equidae
Description: lncRNA (ENSECAG00000057855.1)
Source: RNAcentral
ACAACCGGUGCCUUAGGCCUGGCUUUUGCGUUCUGCUGGCCAGCCCCUCGUCCAGGUUGAUGGCACGGCAGCAAAGUUCUUAGCCCCUGCAGCGUGGGCUCCUAAUUUCACGCCAAGUUAAAAAUGCAGCCGAUCGCCCCCACACUUCCAACUUCAGAAACAGUUCUUUUUGGCCCUGGGGUGUGCCAAGGAGAGUGAAGAAUGCCUAACUGCUGGCUCUUCCCCCUUAUCAAUCUAAAUAACCCGUCCUCCCCGGUGCUCUCGCCUGCCUCCAGGAUUCGGGCUUUGAAAGGGUGAGAAGGGGAGAGAGGGACAGAGAGACAGAGAGAAAGAAAGAGAGAGAAGCGGUGCCAACCCCCUGCAACAAUAUAGCACCUUGGAAAUGGCGGGGUCAACGAAAACAGCUCGAGUAAGGACCGUGAUGGGAACUUGGCCCAGGUGAGAAGCAGAAGCAAGAUAAGUUAUCCACUAAAACAUGAGCAGGUUAGCCUGUUAAAUUAAAGAUAUAUUGUUACUGGUACAAGAUAUUGGGGAGUGGGUCUGAAAUAGCUUUUCCAUUAGGAAUCUGGAUCUUCAGGAUUUUCUGUCUGAAAUGCAUUAUUAUACUGCAAGUUGGAACUUGAUCUACAAGAUGUCAGUCAAGAUGAAAGUUCUUUUUUUGUAUAUUCUGUCCUCCAUGAACAUUUUUCAUUCAUUCAACCGAAAUUCACUGAGAAACAACUCUUAUAAGCUGCAUUUUACUAAAUACUUCUAAAAUAUUGGAAAAAAUGAUUAAACUGAAAAUAGUCUAUGAUUUGAAUGUUUGUAAUUUUUUUAACAUUUGAGCAUAAAUAUAGUAUAAUUCAAGUAGUUUUUCAGAUCUUUUAAAAGAAAAAAACCCCCAAAAAAUGACAGACAACGCUCAAAAAAAAAAAAGUCUACUGGCCUUUAUUCCCCACCCCAGGUUCUCUCUCCAUAGAGGCAAAUACUUUCAACUUUUC